UUCCGGUUGACCCGCCGGACCCCACUGCUAUCGGGAUGAGACUAAGACAUGCUAGUCGUGCGCUUCCAAGCCACGGUGGAAGCGCGGCGCACAGCUCAGUAGCACAUGGCUAACCUACCCUUGGGACAAGGACAACCCCGGGAAACUGGGGCUAAUCCUUGAUAGGUGAGGGCUCCUGGAAUGGACCCUUGCCCAAAAGGUGCUUAGACCAUGCUUCAAGGCACCGCCCAAGGAUGGGGCCGUGCCCGAUCAGGUUGUUGGUGAGGUAACGGCUCACCAAGCCUUUGACCGGUGCGGGCCGUGGGAGCGGGAGCCCGGAGAUGGGCACUGAGACAAGGGCCCAGGCCCUACGGGGCGCAGCAGUCGCGAAAACUCCGCAAUACACGAAAGUGUGACGGGGUCAUCCCGAGUGCCGUCCGCUGAGGACGGCUUUUCCCCAGUGUAGAUAGCUGGGGGAAUAAGGAGAGGGCAAGUCUGGUGUCAGCCGCCGCGGUAAUACCAGCUCUCCGAGUGGUGGGGACGCUUAUUGGGCCUAAAGCAUCCGUAGCCGGCUGGACAAGUCCCCCGUUAAAUCCAGCGAUUCAAUCGUUGGACUGCAGGGGAUACUGCCCAGCUAGGGGACGGGAAAGGCCGACGGUAUUCCCGGGGUAGGGGUGAAAUCCUAUAAUCCCGGGAGGACCACCAGUGGCGAAAGCUGUCGGCUGGAACGCGCCCGACGGUGAGGGAUGAAAGCUGGGGGAGCAAACCGGAUUAGAUACCCGGGUAGUCCCAGCCGUAAACGAUGCAAGCUAGGUGUUCGAGUGGCUACGUGCCACUCGAGUGCCGCAGGGAAGCCGAUAAGCUUGCCGCCUGGGGAGUACGGCCGCA
Molecule: ribosomal RNA, 867 nt
Filed under: uncultured Thermoprotei archaeon
Lineage: Archaea; Thermoproteati; Thermoproteota; Thermoprotei
Description: bacterial SSU rRNA
Rfam family: Archaeal small subunit ribosomal RNA
Source: RNAcentral